Molecule: ribosomal RNA, 548 nt
Filed under: Salmonella enterica subsp. enterica serovar Rubislaw
Lineage: Bacteria; Pseudomonadati; Pseudomonadota; Gammaproteobacteria; Enterobacterales; Enterobacteriaceae
Also listed under: 6 other names
Description: partial 23S ribosomal RNA
Rfam family: Bacterial large subunit ribosomal RNA
Source: RNAcentral
GGGUUGUGAGGUUAAGCGACUAAGCGUACACGGUGGAUGCCCUGGCAGUCAGAGGCGAUGAAGGGCGUGCUAAUCUGCGAUAAGCGCCGGUAAGGUGAUAUGAACCGUUAUAACCGGCGAUACCCGAAUGGGGAAACCCAGUGUGACUCGUCACACUAUCAUUAACUGAAUCCAUAGGUUAAUGAGGCGAACCGGGGGAACUGAAACAUCUAAGUACCCCGAGGAAAAGAAAUCAACCGAGAUUCCCCCAGUAGCGGCGAGCGAACGGGGAGGAGCCCAGAGCCUGAAUCAGCAUGUGUGUUAGUGGAAGCGUCUGGAAAGGCGCGCGAUACAGGGUGACAGCCCCGUACACAAAAGCGCAUGUGCUGUGAGCUCGAUGAGUAGGGCGGGACACGUGGUAUCCUGUCUGAAUAUGGGGGGACCAUCCUCCAAGGCUAAAUACUCCUGACUGACCGAUAGUGAACCAGUACCGUGAGGGAAAGGCGAAAAGAACCCCGGCGAGGGGAGUGAAAAAGAACCUGAAACCGUGUACGUACAAGCAGUGGGAG